UACAUUCUCUUGGUCCCUUCCAGACCUCCGGAGCCACAAGGAACCCACGUGGAGGAGCCCUCUCUCUGGACACACAUAAUCGAAGUGAGGACAGUGUUGAAGAAGCUCCUCAGAAGGAGUUCUAGUUCUCAGACCUUUCACUCUUUUGGUCACUCUUCUCUGGACACAGUCUACUUUGUCCCAGCCUUUCCUGACCUUUGUUGCCCAGAAGUGGACACAGUCUUAUUCCAGGCAAAGUCUGACCAAAGCCAAAGAGAUACCCACCUUCAGAGGGAGACAGAGCUUUGGAGACAGGAGGUGAGUUGUGAGUUGGGUGUCCCUUGGGAACGGUAACCAGCGGAAAAAGAUCGCCACCCUUUCCCCUUGGGUUCCUCCAUCCCGUUUGCUCCCUGUCCCUCAUGGAAGCUGGAUCAAGGCAGCAUUUGAGGGAUAUUGCAAAGGAAAUGCCCUUCUUAGCUGGAGCCUUGAGUUUCCCUUUCUUUCCCUGCAGUUUCUGGGGAGAGAGAAGCCCCUCUGGGAGGUCAGCAGCCUGGAGGUGGAGAGGGAGAGCCUGACCUCCUCUGGGAGUUCAGAGAGAUACCUCCUGUCCAUAUUUUGAGGGAGGGCAGGUUGGGGUUUUGGGUCCCAGAGAUCUCAAGGGGGGUGUCCCAGGACGUUGCCUUUUUCCCAG
This 670-nucleotide long non-coding RNA is filed under the name Anolis carolinensis (green anole). RNAcentral's name for it is "lncRNA (ENSACAG00000040202.1)". The record is from RNAcentral. Lineage: Eukaryota; Metazoa; Chordata; Lepidosauria; Squamata; Anolidae.